GAUGAACGCUGGCGGCGUGCCUAAUACAUGCAAGUCGAGCGAACAGACGAGGAGCUUGCUCCUCUGACGUUAGCGGCGGACGGGUGAGUAACACGUGGAUAACCUACCUAUAAGACUGGGAUAACUUCGGGAAACCGGAGCUAAUACCGGAUAAUAUAUUGGGCCGCAUGGUUCAAUAGUGAAAGACGGUUUUGCUGUCACUUAUAGAUGGAUCCGCGCCGCAUUAGCUAGUUGGUAAGGUAACGGCUUACCAAGGCGACGAUGCGUAGCCGACCUGAGAGGGUGAUCGGCCACACUGGAACUGAGACACGGUCCAGACUCCUACGGGAGGCAGCAGUAGGGAAUCUUCCGCAAUGGGCGAAAGCCUGACGGAGCAACGCCGCGUGAGUGAUGAAGGUCUUCGGAUCGUAAAACUCUGUUAUUAGGGAAGAACAAAUGUGUAAGUAACUAUGCACGUCUUGACGGUACCUAAUCAGAAAGCCACGGCUAACUACGUG
RNAcentral lists this ribosomal RNA (497 nucleotides) under uncultured bacterium. RNAcentral's name for it is "partial 16S ribosomal RNA". It matches the Rfam family "Bacterial small subunit ribosomal RNA", at positions 28 to 507 of the family's 1533-position model. The record is from RNAcentral.